RNAcentral lists this transfer RNA (73 nucleotides) under Actinomycetota bacterium. RNAcentral's name for it is "tRNA-Ala". It matches the Rfam family "tRNA". From Rfam's summary of the family: Transfer RNA (tRNA) molecules are approximately 80 nucleotides in length. Their secondary structure includes four short double-helical elements and three loops (D, anti-codon, and T loops). Further hydrogen bonds mediate the characteristic L-shaped molecular structure. tRNAs have two regions of fundamental functional importance: the anti-codon, which is responsible for specific mRNA codon recognition, and the 3' end, to which the tRNAs corresponding amino acid is attached (by aminoacyl-tRNA synthetases). tRNAs cope with the degeneracy of the genetic code in two manners: having more than one tRNA (with a specific anti-codon) for a particular amino acid; and 'wobble' base-pairing, i.e. permitting non-standard base-pairing at the 3rd anti-codon position. Lineage: Bacteria; Bacillati; Actinomycetota. The record is from RNAcentral.
GGGGACGUAGCUCAGUUGGUAGAGCACUGCCUUUGCAAGGCAGGGGUCGCCGGUUCGAAUCCGGUCGUCUCCA